AAAGUGAAAGACGGUCUUGCUGUCACUUAUAGAUGGAUCCGCGCUGCAUUAGCUAGUUGGUAAGGUAACGGCUUACCAAGGCAACGAUGCAUAGCCGACCUGAGAGGGUGAUCGGCCACACUGGAACUGAGACACGGUCCAGACUCCUACGGGAGGCAGCAGUAGGGAAUCUUCCGCAAUGGGCGAAAGCCUGACGGAGCAACGCCGCGUGAGUGAUGAAGGUCUUCGGAUCGUAAAACUCUGUUAUUAGGGAAGAACAUAUGUGUAAGUAACUGUGCACAUCUUGACGGUACCUAAUCAGAAAGCCACGGCUAACUACGUGCCAGCAGCCGCGGUAAUACGUAGGUGGCAAGCGUUAUCCGGAAUUAUUGGGCGUAAAGCGCGCGUAGGCGGUUUUUUAAGUCUGAUGUGAAAGCCCACGGCUCAACCGUGGAGGGUCAUUGGAAACUGGAAAACUUGAGUGCAGAAGAGGAAAGUGGAAUUCCAUGUGUAGCGGUGAAAUGCGCAGAGAUAUGGAGGAACACCAGUGGCGAAGGCGACUUUCUGG
Molecule: ribosomal RNA, 547 nt
Filed under: Staphylococcus aureus
Lineage: Bacteria; Bacillati; Bacillota; Bacilli; Caryophanales; Staphylococcaceae
Description: bacterial SSU rRNA
Rfam family: Bacterial small subunit ribosomal RNA
Source: RNAcentral